GACGAACGCUGGCGGCGUGCUUAACACAUGCAAGUCGAACGAAGAGCGAUGGAAGCUUGCUUCUAUCAAUCUUAGUGGCGAACGGGUGAGUAACGCGUAAUCAACCUGCCCUUCAGAGGGGGACAACAGUUGGAAACGACUGCUAAUACCGCAUACGAUCUAACCUCGGCAUCGAGGAUAGAUGAAAGGUGGCCUCUACAUGUAAGCUAUCACUGAAGGAGGGGAUUGCGUCUGAUUAGCUAGUUGGAGGGGUAACGGCCCACCAAGGCGAUGAUCAGUAGCCGGUCUGAGAGGAUGAACGGCCACAUUGGGACUGAGACACGGCCCAGACUCCUACGGGAGGCAGCAGUGGGGAAUCUUCCGCAAUGGACGAAAGUCUGACGGAGCAACGCCGCGUGAGUGAUGACGGCCUUCGAGUUGUAAAGCUCUGUUAAUCGGGACGAAAGGCCUUCUUGCGAAUAGUGAGAAGGAUUGACGGUACCGGAAUAGAAAGCCACGGCUAACUACGUG
RNAcentral lists this ribosomal RNA (510 nucleotides) under uncultured bacterium. RNAcentral's name for it is "partial 16S ribosomal RNA". It matches the Rfam family "Bacterial small subunit ribosomal RNA", at positions 28 to 507 of the family's 1533-position model. The record is from RNAcentral.